AUACGUAGGGGGCAAGCGUUAUCCGGAUUUACUGGGCGUAAAGGGUGCGUAGGCGGCAUUUACAAGUCUAAUGUGAAAUCCCAGUGCUUAACAUGGGGUUUGCAAUAGAAACUGUAAAGCUAGAGUGCAGGAGAGGUAAGUGGAAUUCCUAGUGUAGCGGUGAAAUGCAUAGAUAUUCGGAGGAACACCAGUGGCGAAGGCGGCUUACUGGUCCAUUACUGACGCUGAGGUGCGAAGGCGUGGGGAGC
RNAcentral lists this ribosomal RNA (248 nucleotides) under uncultured bacterium. Its description in RNAcentral is "partial 16S ribosomal RNA". It matches the Rfam family "Bacterial small subunit ribosomal RNA", at positions 523 to 769 of the family's 1533-position model. The record is from RNAcentral.